RNAcentral lists this ribosomal RNA (844 nucleotides) under Emberiza aureola ornata. Its description in RNAcentral is "Schoeniclus aureolus ornatus partial 16S ribosomal RNA". The stretch from base 239 to 706 matches the Rfam family "Bacterial large subunit ribosomal RNA", at positions 622 to 1298 of the family's 2925-position model. The record is from RNAcentral. Lineage: Eukaryota; Metazoa; Chordata; Aves; Passeriformes; Fringillidae.
UUCAGCUUACACCUGAAAAAUGUCUGUUAAUACCAGAUCGUCUUGAUGCCAAACUCUAGCCCAAUCAACAUGACCCGGAAUAACAAAGCUACUUCCCCCCACCCAACUAAAGCAUUCAUUAGUCCCAGUAUAGGCGAUAGAAAAGACACCAUUGGCGCGAUAGAGACCACGUACCGUAAGGGAAAGAUGAAAUAACAAUGAAAACUAAGCUAUAAACAGCAAAGAUCAGCCCUUGUACCUCUUGCAUCAUGGUCUAGCAAGAAAAACCAAGCAAAAUGAAUUUAAGUUUGCCACCCCGAAACCCAUGCGAGCUACUCACGAGCAGCUAUUAUUGAGCGAACCCGUCUCUGUGGCAAAAGAGUGGGAUGACUCGUUAGUAGAGGUGAAAAGCCAACCGAGCUGGGUGAUAGCUGGUUGCCUGUGAAACGAAUCUAAGUUCACUCUUAAUUCUUCUCCAAGGAAACCCCACAAACCCCAAUGAAGCGAAUUAAGGGCUAUUUAAAGGAGGUACAGCUCCUUUAAAAAAGAAUACAAUCUCUUCGAGCGGAUAAAUACUAACCCCCUCCAACUGAAUUGUGGGCCCUCAAGCAGCCAUCAACAAAGAGUGCGUUAAAGCUCUGCACCUCAAAAAUAUAAGAACCAUAUGACUCCCUCCUCAUUAACAGGCCAACCUAUAUUCAAAUAGGAGAAUUAAUGCUAGAAUGAGUAACCAGGGUCCUCCCUCUACGACGCAAGCUUACAUCCACACAUUAUUAACAAACAACCAAUAUACGACAAAUCAAACAAGCACAGUAUUAAACACCUUGUUAACCCGACAGAGGAGCGUCCAUUAAGAAAGAUUAAA